This 515-nucleotide ribosomal RNA is filed under the name uncultured bacterium. RNAcentral describes it as "partial 16S ribosomal RNA". It matches the Rfam family "Bacterial small subunit ribosomal RNA", at positions 28 to 523 of the family's 1533-position model. The record is from RNAcentral.
GAUGAACGCUGGCGGCGUGCCUAAUACAUGCAAGUCGAGCGAAUGGAUUAAGAGCUUGCUCUUAUGAAGUUAGCGGCGGACGGGUGAGUAACACGUGAGUAACCUGCCCAUAAGACUGGGAUAACUCCGGGAAACAGGGGCUAAUACCGGAUAACAUUUUGAACCGCAUGGUUCGAAAUUGAAAGGCGGCUUCGGCUGUCACUUAUGGAUGGACCCGCGUCGCAUUAGCUCGUUGGUGAGGUAACGGCUCACCAAGGCAACGAUGCGUAGCCGACCUGAGAGGGUGAUCGGCCACACUGGGACUGAGACACGGCCCAGACUCCUACGGGAGGCAGCAGUAGGGAAUCUUCCGCAAUGGACGAAAGUCUGACGGAGCAACGCCGCGUGAGUGAUGAAGGCUUUCGGGUCGUAAAACUCUGUUGUUAGGGAAGAACAAGUGCUAGUUGAAUAAGCUGGCACCUUGACGGUACCUAACCAGAAAGCCACGGCUAACUACGUGCCAGCCGCCGCAGUAA